Molecule: ribosomal RNA, 264 nt
Filed under: uncultured bacterium
Lineage: Bacteria
Description: partial 16S ribosomal RNA
Rfam family: Bacterial small subunit ribosomal RNA
Source: RNAcentral
CCCUACGGGGGGCAGCAGUGGGGGAUAUUGCACAAUGGGGGGAACCCUGAUGCAGCGACGCCGCGGGGGUGAAGGAGCGUUUCGGCGCGUAAAGCCCUAUCGGCAGGGAAGGAGAUGACGGUACCUGACCAAGAAGCCCCGGCUAACUACGAGCCAGCAGCCGGGGUAAUACGUAGGGGGCAAGCGUUAUCCGGAUUUACUGGGUGUAAAGGGGGCGGAGCGGGCAAUGCAAGCCAGGAGUGAAAGCCAGAGGCCCAACCCCGG